RNAcentral lists this ribosomal RNA (423 nucleotides) under uncultured bacterium. Its description in RNAcentral is "partial 16S ribosomal RNA". It matches the Rfam family "Bacterial small subunit ribosomal RNA", at positions 360 to 775 of the family's 1533-position model. The record is from RNAcentral.
AAUCUUCCGCAAUGGACGAAAGUCUGACGGAGCAACACCGCGUGAGUGAUGAAGGUUUUCGGAUCGUAAAACUCUGUUGUCGGGGAAGAACAAGUAUGAUAGUAACUGAUCGUACCUUGACGGUACCCGACCAGAAAGCCACGGCUAACUACGUGCCAGCAGCCGCGGUAAUACGUAGGUGGCAAGCGUUGUCCGGAAUUAUUGGGCGUAAAGCGCUCGCAGGCGGUUCUUUAAGUCUGAUGUGAAAUCCUGCGGCUCAACCGCAAACGUGCAUUGGAAACUGGAGGACUUGAGUGCAGAAGAGGAGAGUGGAAUUCCACGUGUAGCGGUGAAAUGCGUAGAGAUGUGGAGGAACACCAGUGGCGAAGGCGACUCUCUGGUCUGUAACUGACGCUGAGGAGCGAAAGCGUGGGGAGCGAACAG